GACGAACGCUGGCGGCGUGCUUAACACAUGCAAGUCGAACGGAAAGGCCCUGCUUUUGUGGGGUGCUCGAGUGGCGAAAGGGUGAGUAACAAGUGAGUAACCUGCCCUUGACUUUGGGAUAACUUCAGGAAACUGGGGCUAAUACCGGAUAGGAGCUCCUGCUGCAUGGGGGGGGUUGGAAAGGUUCGGCGGUUGGGGAUGGACUCGCGGCUUAUCAGCUUGUUGGUGGGGUAGUGGCUUACCAAGGCUUUGACGGGUAGCCGGCCUGAGAGGGUGACCGGCCACAUUGGGACUGAGAUACGGCCCAGACUCCUACGGGAGGCAGCAGUGGGGAAUAUUGCACAAUGGGCGGAAGCCUGAUGCAGCAACGCCGCGUGCGGGAUGACGGCCUUCGGGUUGUAAACCGCUUUCGCCUGUGACGAAGCGUGAGUGACGGUAAUGGGUAAAGAAGCACCGGCUAACUACGUG
Molecule: ribosomal RNA, 468 nt
Filed under: uncultured bacterium
Lineage: Bacteria
Description: partial 16S ribosomal RNA
Rfam family: Bacterial small subunit ribosomal RNA
Source: RNAcentral